CCUGAGGAUGAACCUGUUGCGGCAACAUCCGAAUCUCAGGAGAGGACUUCAUGGGAGGACUUACUCCUCAAAGCUGUUAGGGUCCAUCAGGUUGGGCGUCCUUGGUCGAGAUGACCACCCAAUUUGGUGAUGAUGCUGUUAGAUUCCGUCAGCCUUGGAAACAACGAGCGCUCCCUGUGAUGCUUCGAGCAGGGCAUCAUGGUCGUGCUUGUCGGCCGUGAGGUGAGCAUCCCUCUGACGACACGAUGCCAGGGUCCACCCGGAGUCCCGGAUGGAUAAUGCCGGACUUGGUCCUGUCCAGGGAUGAGACCAACCUUUUCGGAUUUGUCACCUUUCCACGGCCGCCUUCGCACUUCUGGCCGGGGGAGGACUGUAAGCUGAGGAAAACGUCUUCCUGCAACUGUGACCUGAGGAACCCAUCUUCCUGCAACGUUGCUUCGUCAAUACAGUUGAAUUAGUUGCACAAGCGUUUGACCGCUCACAACCAUCAAUAGGCCUGCUCUCUGCUAGGAGACCAGCGGAGUACCUGUGUGUCCCACUAAACGAGUGGUCGCACUGAUUUUCUUGAGAAAACUAUCUUUAUGGUAAUUUCGCACAUACUCUGCGUACACUGUGUCGUUGAAAUAAUAAAUCAGUCUGCUCCGAGACA
This 649-nucleotide long non-coding RNA is filed under the name Penaeus japonicus. RNAcentral's name for it is "uncharacterized LOC122242142". The record is from RNAcentral. Lineage: Eukaryota; Metazoa; Arthropoda; Malacostraca; Decapoda; Penaeidae.